GGUUAAGAACAAAGCUAAGUGGAUUAUGUUGGGUAACUAUACCUCCACUUUGUCCCUAGAUUUAAGAUAGUGACUAUCUUUUAUUUAGUUGAGAUUUCCUGCAAUAUCGUGGAAAAGAUUUCGUUCAAGGGAUAACAUGAGAAGAAAGGUUGUAGGCCUAGAAUCUAGUUACUUGAGGGACCAGAAGAUUAUGAAGCUUAAGAGUAUUUGGUGCAGAACUCUAACAGGUGUUGCAUUAGUAUAAGUAUUUAUAAGGAUUUCUCUAAUACACUUAGAUUAGCAAAAAACUGGACAUCUCAUACUGGAUACUUUUAACAGUUACCACACACUCGUUUCAGAGGCCAGUGGAGAAGCUUGGCUUCAUAUACUUUAUUCAUUGGCUUAAAAUUGAAAUCAACACAUAUGUCAUAAAUAAGGAAUAAAUACAGAAGGAACGGGCAUGUAGAAGGGAAACAAGGUUGGAAAGUGAGAAAAAACCACUAGACUGUUUGCUGCUGUCAUGGUGGACAAAGAGAGAGGCAGAGGCUAUGGAGAAUUAGAUUGAAUGAUAAUUUAGAAACUAGGCUUGUAGGAUAAUUCUGUUAUUCAAUCCCAAAAAACUAAUCAUGACGGGAUAACAGCUGCACCUUGUUUGACAAGUCAAUCAAUUGUUUGGCUUAAAAUAUAUGUAGGAAGAGGUUUAAACCCUGUAUACCAGGUGUGUUCAAAAUGUAUCGCACCUAUAGAAACCAGUUGCCUUCUGAAAACCCUUCUGCUGCUUCCUUCCAAACACUCCAUGAAAUCUGGGCUUUAUGUCUUUCCUCUCUAUUCCUUCCAAUCUUCUGACUCAGCAUGUCCUCGUUACUGCCAGGCAUCUACUGUUCAAUCAUGGGCAACUUCUACACAACGCCAACAAGCGAGGUUAAUUCAAAGCGUUGCAAAUGAGUAAUGUUGUCCCCUCAUUCUACCCCAUGAAGCACAAGCUAACAUAUAAUUUCUACGUCCAACUUUUUCCAAACAUAAAAGGACCUCAGACCUUAUUUUGCUCUUUCUACUGCAAAUCGUAUGCCUCUUUUGCCUUUUCGCUUGGUAUCCUUACAUCACUUUGAUAGUACUUCGCGAGAUCUUUUUACUUACAUAAACAUGGUCAUAAUUUUGUUAAAGGAGUAAAAUGGGACAAGAGACUUUCUAAUUUCUAGAAGGUUAAUUGUUUAACAUCUAGGAAAGAAAAAACUUGCCAAAAGUAUUUUUAUGGAGGAAGUUUAGAUGAUUGGGUUCCUCAACAAUAGAGAGGUCAUAAGUUAUUGGAUUAGAAACAUGGUUUUGUAUAUUCUAAUUGGUAUUAAGGGAUCUUUCUUCAUAUCUCUAAUUUAGCAGUGACAUCUAUUGAUUGUUCUAUUUUGGUUGAAGAAUGCUGAAUCAAAACCUUGCACUCUCCCCAGUAAUAGGUGUUGAAUUUGGUCAACUGGGGAGUCAUGGUAGUCCAGUUAGUUUGUUGGCUACCUGAACUUCCAUCUUGUUGGUGGGAGUUAAUCUCCUCCCACAUUUUCCCUUCCCCUUCCCUCUAUGUAUAAUAAAAGUUUUUUAAAAAAUGUGGUGAAACUGUUUUUCUAACUGAUAAGGUUUGGUCAUUUUCUAUGGUCUUAGGUUAUUUGACUGAUAAAUUAUAUGCAUAUUGUUGUAGGAUGACAUGGAUGCGAAGAUCCAAGAACUUUCUUAUCAACUGGAUUGUGCCAAUCGGAAAUGUGAAAUUUAUCGUGCAAACCUUUAUUCAGUUUUGAAGGAUAUAGAGGACCAUAAGCAACAACUAUCAAUUAAAGUCCAAAACAUAAAGCUUAGCUUGAAGGAUGGUCUCUGAAUUUCUCCUCUUGUGGUAUAUGUUCUGUAAUCCUGUACAUAGUUGGUCCUUCAAAUUUUAUUGUACACAAGAAUCUUCCUGGAAUUCUUUUCUAAGGAAAUCACCGUGUGCUCAUUUGGCAGGUGUAGCAUGUAGUGUUCUGUCCAAUAUCUUUUAAGUUGGCAGCACUUCAUCUCUAACUUAGUAACACGGUUAAUCAACAUCAUUUGACAUAAACAACGGUUUUAUUGUAAGAUUCAACACACCAAGAUAGUUGGAUGCAGUUUGAUUGCUGAGAAUAUAGUGUGCAGGGCAUCAUACUUUACUUGAGAUGAGCCAUAAAGCAUGAUGUGAUGAUUGUCUUGGUUACCCAUUGAUUGAGUGGACAUUUAAAUUUUAUCUAGCCAAUUCAUGGCAACUUGCCUUUGUCCUUUGCUGGAAUUAGCUUUCGCACCCCUAUAGAAAAAUCAGCUGCAGAUAAUCAUUGACAAGAGUUCUCUUAACUUGUGUGAGCUGUCGACAUUGGGAUGGGCUCUACAUUGGCAGCUUCCUGCACCUUUUAACUAUUUUUAUUUUCUUUCAAAGUUGAGUAUGUUAACAAAAUCUUCAUGGG
This 2429-nucleotide long non-coding RNA is filed under the name Nicotiana benthamiana. RNAcentral's name for it is "long non-coding RNA (NBEN_LNC038838)". The record is from RNAcentral. Lineage: Eukaryota; Viridiplantae; Streptophyta; Magnoliopsida; Solanales; Solanaceae.